CGGCGGACGGGUGAGUAACGCGUGGGUAACCUACCCUGUACGCACGGAUAACAUACCGAAAGGUAUGCUAAUACGGGAUAAUAUAUUUGAGAGGCAUCUCUUGAAUAUCAAAGGUGAGCCAGUACAGGAUGGACCCGCGUCUGAUUAGCUAGUUGGUAAGGUAACGGCUUACCAAGGCGACGAUCAGUAGCCGACCUGAGAGGGUGAUCGGCCACAUUGGAACUGAGACACGGUCCAA
RNAcentral lists this ribosomal RNA (238 nucleotides) under uncultured bacterium. RNAcentral describes it as "partial 16S ribosomal RNA". It matches the Rfam family "Bacterial small subunit ribosomal RNA", at positions 96 to 334 of the family's 1533-position model. The record is from RNAcentral.